UACGAAGGGGGCUAGCGUUGCUCGGAAUUACUGGGCGUAAAGCGCACGUAGGCGGUCUUUUAAGUCGGGGGUGAAAUCCUGGAGCUCAACUCCAGAACUGCCUUCGAUACUGGAAGACUUGAGUCCGGGAGAGGUGAGUGGAACUGCGAGUGUAGAGGUGAAAUUCGUAGAUAUUCGCAAGAACACCAGUGGCGAAGGCGGCUGACUGGGCCAUUACUGACGCUGAGGCGCGAAAGCGUGGGGAGCAAACAGG
This 253-nucleotide ribosomal RNA is filed under the name uncultured bacterium. RNAcentral describes it as "partial 16S ribosomal RNA". It matches the Rfam family "Bacterial small subunit ribosomal RNA", at positions 524 to 776 of the family's 1533-position model. The record is from RNAcentral.